Molecule: long non-coding RNA, 1360 nt
Filed under: Anser brachyrhynchus (Pink-footed goose)
Lineage: Eukaryota; Metazoa; Chordata; Aves; Anseriformes; Anatidae
Description: lncRNA (ENSABRG00000008573.1)
Source: RNAcentral
AUGAACCACAGCAAGGUCAUAUCCACAGUUAAGCACAUCCCUGACACAGCGCUCCGCUCCUCCCCUCCUGCUCCCCGGGUCUGGGAAGCACCAGGAGUGAAUUUCCACCUGCGCUUCUCGCUCUGGCUCCCUCUGGGCUGUUCAAACCAGCCCGUUUGCUCCAAAUCCAGGCACUUUUCCUCGGCGCAGCACCAGUGUGACGCACAGCGCUGGGACGCCUGGGCACUGGGAUCGCCGGUAGCGUGGCAACAGGCACCAGGCAACGUACAAUCCUCACACUCCCAUGGAAGAGGGCUGAUAAAGUUCUGCAGAAGUUUCCAGCCCCGAGGUCGCAUUUCUCCUCCUGAGCCACGCUGCUGAGUUCUGCUGGGACCCGAGUCACGCACCGCAGCGAGAAGAAGGAAGAGAACAGGCUGCAAGUACACGCAGGACAAAAUUGUUCACUUGAAAUAUUCAGGAGAGUCCUAAUGAAUAAUGAAUAUAUCUGUAGAAAUGGGUCUCAAUCACAGACAAAACAAUGGUUAAAUUAAUCAGGUAAUUUAAUGGCAAGGAGCAAUUUUGACACCUCGUCUCACUGAUGCUACUUAAAUGGCCUUUCUCGGAGACAGCUAGCUUAUUCUUAUCACUGCAAGUAAGAGUUUCUCCUUGUUUAGCUUUUAAUUACCACCCGAUCAAUACUUCUCAGCCCUGACUCUGCAGAAGAACCCUCCUGGGCCGGGUUGCACUGGCUGGGUUCACCUCCCCGCAGCCAGGCUGGGAGGGAAGCGCUGCCCUGGGUGGCAGAAGAGCCGUGGCUGCAGGUGGCACGAGGACACCAGCACAGGGGGCUCCGGGAGGGCCCCCAGCCCACCUUGGUUGGGUUUCAGGAGCAGCUCCAUCCUCCAGCCCACGCGUGGACAGCAAAGCCCAGCUUUGAGCAGCAAGCAGCUCCUGCCGGAGUCCAGCUGGAGUACAGGCAGCGCUAACGAUGUUAUUUUUCAUGUUGAGAGGGACUUUAAUUAUUUACGAAGCUCCCAACUAGAUGUUCAGCGAGCCUGGCGCGUGCGCUUCUACCUCUCACUUUCCUCCCCACCUCUCUGCCUGGGGAACAGACGCAUCCCCCACGAGGGGACGGGCACGGCUGUACCCUGCCCACCACCCGCAGUGUCCCUAGCCCCUGCCCUGCCGCCGUCCCCAGCCCCCUGCCCAGCCAAGCCCACCCCGAUGCCAGCAGAGGAACACGAUCAGAGCUAAUGAGUUUGGCCUCGGGCAACCACCUCCACCGUGCCAUUAUUUUUUAUUUUUUCUUGGAGCCUUUCAGUCCAGGGAGCUUGUUGCUCCUCCAGCAUCAACAACAUUAACAAGUUCUGACAUCUCAUAA